GUCUUUGUGGUGUAAUGGUAGCACAUUCAGUGUGCAUUCGAGAAGUCCAGGGUUCGAAUCCCGGCGAGGGCA
RNAcentral lists this transfer RNA (72 nucleotides) under Stegodyphus mimosarum. It matches the Rfam family "tRNA". From Rfam's summary of the family: Transfer RNA (tRNA) molecules are approximately 80 nucleotides in length. The record is from Rfam by way of RNAcentral. Lineage: Eukaryota; Metazoa; Arthropoda; Arachnida; Araneae; Eresidae.